RNAcentral lists this ribosomal RNA (1500 nucleotides) under Triticum aestivum (bread wheat). RNAcentral describes it as "partial small subunit ribosomal RNA". Lineage: Eukaryota; Viridiplantae; Streptophyta; Magnoliopsida; Poales; Poaceae. The record is from RNAcentral.
AUGCCGACGCUCCGCAGCGCCACGCUGAGCCCUGCCCCGGCGGCCACCCCGUCCCCGACGGCCACCACCCCCUCCCCGGCGGCCGCCGGCACCACCCCGAGCAGCGCGGCCAAGCGCCGCAUGACCGCUCGCCGCGCCGCCGAUUCGCCCGAUUCGCCCCAUUUCACCUCCCCCCACAAGUCCCCGCUCGCCGGCACCGGCAAUUUCGGCGCCCCGAAGAUGCUCUCGGCGUCGCCCAAGUCCUCCCGGAAGCGCCUCUACGGCGACCUCGUCCCGGCGGAGAGACCCAAGUGGAACCCAAGAGAUCCGGCGCAGAUGCAGGCGGUCAAGGAGGCGCUGCACGUGGCCACGACGCCCUCGUGCGGCCUGGUUUGCAGGGACGAUGAGCAAAGGCGCGUGUUCGAAUUCUGCAAGGCGUGUGUCCAGCAGGAGAGGGCGGGGAGCCUCUACGUGUGCGGGUGCCCCGGUACAGGGAAGACACUGUCGAUCAGCAAGGUCAAGCAGAGCGUGUCGCGAUGGGCUGAUGAGAUGGGAAUGGAGACGCCUGAUGAUUUGUCAAUCAAUUGCACGAACCUUGGAAACACAUCUGACAUUUUUGGCAAGAUACUUGAAAAAUUCCAGGUUCGGAAAAAGGCAAGUGGCAAAUUGUCACCACUUCAGCAACUGCAGCGUAUGUUUUCUCACAAAGAAUCUGCUCCAAGGAGGAUGCUAUUGGUCGUUGUGGAUGAGAUGGACUACUUGAUAACAAGAGACCGCGCUGUGCUACAUGACCUUUUCAUGCUUACCACCCACCAGUUCUCGAGAUGCAUACUGAUAGGAAUUGCAAAUGCAAUAGACCUAGCAGAUCGGUUUCUUCCAAAGCUUGAAUCCUUAAAUUGCAAGCCACUUGUUAUAACUUUCCGAGCCUAUUCCAAGGAUCAAAUAUCCAACAUAAUUAAUCAUAGGUUAAAGGUUCUUGAGUAUGAUGUCUUUGAGCCAAUGGCGAUAGAAUUUUGUGCUAGGAAAGUAGCUGCAGCCACUGGAGACAUGAGAAAAGCUCUUGGUGUUUGCAGGAGUGCUGUGGAAAUAUUUGAAUCAGGACUACAAGAUUCUUCUGAUAAAGGAGCUGGAGUUGUGACAUUUGACCAUAUGGACAUUGCCUUGUCGAAGGUUUUCAGGCCAGCAGUAGUAAAUAACAUACUGUGCCUUCCCCAACACCAACAGAUGGUGCUGUGUGCACUGGCAAAUACCUUUCAACAUUCCAGGAAAAAGGCUACUACUCUAGGAGAGCUCAACAAAUCAUACAUAGAAAUUUGUAGAUCGACCCAAGUUCCAGCAGUUGGGAUGCUUGAAUUUUCUAACAUGUGCAUGAUUUUGAGCGAUCAGGGAUACUUGAAAUUAGGGCAAUCCAAAGAAGAUAAGCUUAGAAGAGUAAUGCUUCAGAUUGACAUUUCAGAUAUUACUUUUGCAUUUAAGGGUAGCCGAUUCUUUGAGAAGUGCCUUGAGCAACCAAAAUUUUAG